AGAGUUUGAUCCUGGCUCAGAGCGAACGCUGGCGGCGUACUUAACACAUGCAAGUCGAACGAGGAUCAUCCGUGUAGUAAUACAUUGGUGGUCCUAGUGGCGCACGGGUGAGUAACACGUGGGUGACCUGCCCUAGAGCUCGGGAUACCCCCUCGAAAGGGGGGCUAAUACCGGAUACGUUCCUCGGUCGAAAGAUCGGGGAGGAAAGGUGGCGCAAGCUGCCGCUCUUGGAGGGGCUCGCGGCCUAUCAGCUAGUUGGCGGGGUAACGGCCCACCAAGGCUAUGACGGGUAGCUGGUCUGAGAGGACGACCAGCCACACUGGGACUGAAACACGGCCCAGACUCCUACGGGAGGCAGCAGUGGGGAAUUUUGCACAAUGGGGGAAACCCUGAUGCAGCAACGCCGCGUGGAGGAUGAAGCCCUUUGGGGCGUAAACUCCUUUCGAUCGGGACGAUAAUGACGGUACCGGAAGAAGAAGCACCGGCUAACUCUGUGCCAGCAGCCGCGGUAAUACAGAGGGUGCGAGCGUUGUUCGGAAUUACUGGGCGUAAAGCGCGCGUAGGUGGUUCAGUAAGUUGGAUGUGAAAUCCCCGGGCUCAACCUAGGAACUGCAUCCAAAACUGCUGAGCUAGAAUACGGUAGAGGGUGGUGGAAUUUCCUGUGUAGCGGUGAAAUGCGUAGAUAUAGGAAGGAACACCAGUGGCGAAGGCGACCACCUGGACUGAUACUGACACUGAGGUGCGAAAGCGUGGGGAGCAAACAGGAUUAGAUACCCUGGUAGUCCACGCCGUAAACGAUGUCAACUAGCCGUUGGAAUCCUUGAGAUUUUAGUGGCGCAGCUAACGCAUUAAGUUGACCGCCUGGGGAGUACGGCCGCAAGGUUAAAACUCAAAUGAAUUGACGGGGGCCCGCACAAGCGGUGGAGCAUGUGGUUCAAUUCGACGCAACGCGAAGAACCUUACCUGGGCUCGAAGCGCAGUGGACUGAGGUAGAAAUAUCUCUUUCUCGCAAGAGACUGCUGCGUAGGUGCUGCAUGGCUGUCGUCAGCUCGUGUCGUGAGAUGUUGGGUUAAGUCCCGCAACGAGCGCAACCCUUAUUGCCAGUUGCCAUCAUUUAGUUGGGCACUCUGGCGAAACUGCCCCGGAUAACGGGGAGGAAGGUGGGGAUGACGUCAAGUCCUCAUGGCCUUUAUGUCCAGGGCUACACACGUGCUACAAUGGCAGGUACAAACCGUCGCAAACCCGCGAGGGGGAGCUAAUCGGAAAAAGCCUGCCUCAGUUCGGAUUGGAGUCUGCAACUCGACUCCAUGAAGCUGGAAUCGCUAGUAAUCGCGGAUCAGAACGCCGCGGUGAAUACGUUCCCGGGCCUUGUACACACCGCCCGUCACAUCACGAAAGUGGGCUGUACUAGAAGCAGGUGGGCCAACCGCAAGGAGGCAGCCUUCCAAGGUAUAACUCAUGAUUGGGGUGAAGUCGUAACAAGGUAUCC
RNAcentral lists this ribosomal RNA (1489 nucleotides) under uncultured bacterium. RNAcentral describes it as "bacterial SSU rRNA". It matches the Rfam family "Bacterial small subunit ribosomal RNA". The record is from RNAcentral.